GAUGAACGCUGGCGGCGUGCUUAACACAUGCAAGUCGAACGGAAAGGCUCCUGCUUGCCGGGGUCCUCGAGUGGCGAACGGGUGAGUAACACGUGGGUGAUCUGCCCUGCACUUCGGGAUAAGCCUGGGAAACUGGGUCUAAUACCGGAUAGGACCACAUUUUGGAUGGUGUGGUGGAAAGUUUUUCGGUGUGGGAUGAGCUCGCGGCCUAUCAGCUUGUUGGUGGGGUAAUGGCCUACCAAGGCGUCGACGGGUAGCCGGCCUGAGAGGGUGUACGGCCACAUUGGGACUGAGAUACGGCCCAGACUCCUACGGGAGGCAGCAGUGGGGAAUAUUGCACAAUGGGCGCAAGCCUGAUGCAGCGACGCCGCGUGGGGGAUGACGGCCUUCGGGUUGUAAACUCCUUUCGCUAGGGACGAAGCGAAAGUGACGGUACCUGGAGAAGAAGCACCGGCUAACUACGUG
This 465-nucleotide ribosomal RNA is filed under the name uncultured bacterium. Its description in RNAcentral is "partial 16S ribosomal RNA". It matches the Rfam family "Bacterial small subunit ribosomal RNA", at positions 28 to 507 of the family's 1533-position model. The record is from RNAcentral.